RNAcentral lists this ribosomal RNA (696 nucleotides) under Hebeloma dunense. Its description in RNAcentral is "eukaryotic LSU rRNA". Lineage: Eukaryota; Fungi; Basidiomycota; Agaricomycetes; Agaricales; Hymenogastraceae. The record is from RNAcentral.
CGUAACAAGGUUUCCGUAGGUGAACCUGCGGAAGGAUCAUUAUUGAAUGAACUUGGUGUGGUUGUUGCUGGCCCUUUCGGGGGCAUGUGCACACCCAUCAUCCUCAUCUCUCCACCUGUGCACCUCUUGUAGACUUGGAUUGACUUUCCGAGGCAACUCGGUCGGGAGGAYUUGCUGGCRUUAGCUGGCUUUCCUUGCAUUUCCAAGUCUAUGUUUUUUCAUAUACCCCAUUGAAUGUAACAGAAUGUAACAUAUUGGGCCUUUGYGCCUAUAAAAACUUAUACAACUUUCAGCAACGGAUCUCUUGGCUCUCGCAUCGAUGAAGAACGCAGCGAAAUGCGAUAAGUAAUGUGAAUUGCAGAAUUCAGUGAAUCAUCGAAUCUUUGAACGCACCUUGCGCUCCUUGGUAUUCCGAGGAGCAUGCCUGUUUGAGUGUCAUUAAAUUCUCAACUAUUAUCAGCWWWWGCUGAURAUGGCUUGGAURUGGGGGUUUAUUUUGCUGGCUUCUUCACAGAUUGUCAGCUCCCCUUAAAUGCAUUAGCCGGUGCCCCGCGUGGACUGUCUAUUGGUGUGAUAAUUAUCUACGCCGUGGACAUCUACAAUCAUAUGGGUUUGCACUGCUUCCAAYYGUCUGUUUAUUCAGACAAUACAUGACAAUUUGACCUCAAAUCAGGUAGGACUACCCGCUGAACUUAA